This 3209-nucleotide long non-coding RNA is filed under the name Vigna radiata. RNAcentral's name for it is "long non-coding RNA (VRAD_LNC003108)". The record is from RNAcentral. Lineage: Eukaryota; Viridiplantae; Streptophyta; Magnoliopsida; Fabales; Fabaceae.
UUAUAUUCCUAAUUAUUUGUUAGGAUAUACGUUAGGAUAUAUGAUGAUAGGAUAGAGGGGUUGAGGAGUAAGCGUGUGGGGGGUGUCAGUUAAAAAGGGAAAGUGGGUCAGAGCCUCUAUAAACAGAGGUAGUGUAACGCGGUAGGGGAUAUCGAGUAUUUUGUGAAGUCAGGUCUAUUGCCUGUAGAGAGGUUAUGCUCUCAAGGGAGGUUAUGCUCCCAAACCCAUAUUGUGUACAGUGACUAUCCAUUCUUCAUCAAUAAUACAGUUCUUUCUUUCAUCUUUGGUUGUUUCGUGUGCUAUUGAGAGAGUUUUGGUUAGGUUCACUAACUAACUAGUAACCUAACAAAUUGGUCCGACCUGUCGGAUCAAAGUGGGGGUGAAGGAUCAAGAAGCUGUUGGAUCAUCAAGGGAGGACUGCCGAAUCUCCUUAGGAGAGGGCUGCCAGAUCAAGAAAGGGUGGAGCAUGGAAGGAAGAAACAAUACCUUGGAGAGGAGGACCAGCGGUCAGAAAAUGAGCAUGGCAGAAUCGAAAAUGAACAUGGCAGAAUAUAGAAGAAAUAUGGAAGAAAUAAGAGAAAUGCUGCAAGAAAUCAAGAUUCACAUAAAGGGCCUAGGAAGAAGUGAGGAAUCUGUCAUGAAAGGGCAGAAAGACGGUUCAGAUGAAGAGGAGAUGGAGGAAGACAGGGGUGAACAAAAUUGGAGGCAGCAGGUAUAAUUGGCCAGGUUUGAGGGGCUGGACCCAUUGGGAUGGAUCUCUCAGGCAGAGAAGUUUUCUGACACCCAAAACGUCAAAGAGAAGGAGAGGUUCAGGUUGGCUUACAGCUGCAUGGAAGGAGGCACAAUCUAUUGGUUCAGGGUCUGGAAAAAUAAAACCAAGAACCUUUCUUGGAAAGGGCUGAAAGAGGCAUUAAUAAUUGGGUUUGGAGGAAGAGUCAGAGGGUCUGUUUUUGAGAAGAAAAGAGAAACGGAAGCUGCUGCAGUUUUGAGUGUUGAUGGUUUUGCAAGAAUUAGAGGGCAGGAUAGGAGAGAAGAAAAUAUUCGUGGGGAGGAAGGCAAUGCUGCAAAUGGUGAUGGAGACAUGGGUGUGACUGCUGCUGGAAAAGUUGAAAAAGCUGUUGAUUUUACUGCUGCAAACUGUGAUGGAGACAUGGGUGUGAUUGCUGCUGGAAAAGUUGAAAAAGCUACUGAUUUUACUGCUGCAAACUGUGAUGGAGACAUGGGUGUGACUGCUGCUGGAAAAGUUGAAAAAACUGCUGAUUUUACUGUUGCUGACAAAGUAGAAAAAGCUGUGGUUUUUACUGCUGCUGAAAAAGUUGCUGCUGCUGAGAAAGUUGCUGUUUUUAGUGGAGAUGGUGUGGUAGGUUGUGGUGUGAAUGUCAAAACAAAAGAACGCUCGGGUGGAAGAGAAAAUGCAAGCAAUUGGGAGCAAAAGGAGAGGAUGCCACUGACAAUAAUGGAGCUAGGAAGGGUGAGGAGACACCAAUUUUUUCAUGGGUGAAAAGAGAAGAGUUGAUCACUUAUAAAGAGAUUGACAAGCAAGAUCAAACAACAGGAGCAGCAAAUGCUUUUAAAGUUCAAAACACCAAAGGAUCAACAAAAGCACAUCCAAGCAACAAAGAAAAUGUAGUCCAAGGGUGCAAGACUUGGCAUAAAAAAUUCAAGCACCUUUCUUGGAAAAAUCUGGCCCCAACUCUACUAAAGAUAGUUGAAAGGAACAGAAGAUCAGUCUAUGUGAGAAUUGGGCAACAGUAACACAGAGGGGGAGCGUGGAAAUUUUAUAUGAGAGUUUGCAAGUAGAUGGAGUAGCUGCCAAAAGUGUUGUUGCUACAAGGGCCGAUGAAGUCAGAAUUGAGAUUUUGAGGACUUCACAAAAUUGGGCUAAAAGAAUCCAGGAAGAGUGGAAGUCAUUGGAGGAGGAUUUGCCACCACCCAAGCCUCCAGACUUUUAUUAGAGGGCAGCAUCCAGUGGGUAACAGGUUGAUGAAGAGGAGCCAUGAGAUCAAGCCUUCCAUUUCCAACCUUGAGGACAAGGUUGUUUGGAAGGGGGGUGUAAUGUUAGGAUAUACGUUAGGAUAUAUGAUGAUAGGAUAGAGGGGUUGAGGAGUAAGCGUGUGNGGGGUGUCGGUUAAAAAGGGGAAGUGGGUCAGAGCCUCUAUAAAUAGAGGUAGUGUAACGCGGUAGGGGAUAUCGAGUAUUUUGUGAAGUCAGGUCUAUUGCCUGUANAGAGGUUAUGCUCUCAAGGGAGGUUAUGCUCCCAAACUCAUGCUGUGUACAGUGACUAUCCAUUCUUCAGCAAUAAUAUAGUUCUUUCUUUCAUCUUUGGUUGUUACGUGUGCUAUUGAGAGAGUUUUGGUUAGGUUCACUGACUAGGAACCUAACAUUAUUGCUACUAGGAUGUUGAAUAUCGUCAAUCAUCGUUAUUUGUACAGGGUUAACAAAUUUGGAGUAUUAGAAUCUGGAAUCUUGCAGGAUAGGCGAUGAUGGGCUUGCUAAUUUGACAGGUUUGCACUAGUAUUUAACCAUUUUCCUUUAGUUACAUUUAAAUGGUAAUUGCAUUGUUCAAAGUUUGAAUAGAUUUGUCACACUAGUUCAAAACACUAGCUCAAAGUUUUCUUGAUCUGUGCCUGACGAUUUGACAAGAGGCAUCUGUGCCUGACGAUUUGACAAGAGGCAUUGAGGCUUUAUACCUUUAUGCCAUUUUUAGCUGAUGAUUGAAUGGCAUAAUUUGAUGAUUCAAACCCACCUAUCUUAUUAGACAAUAAAUAUUGAGAUGGUAAGAUCCAUGUGAAACUUUGCAUAUUCCAACUUGAAUAUCUGAAUUGCAGUUAUAAAAUUGUCGGGGGGAUUUAAGCCAGCGUUUAGCCUUAACAUUGUGCUUAAAAUGUAUAUAUAUACGUGCUUGGUCUGAUCACUGGUGGUUCUAAUUCAGUUUUGCUUAUAUUUUUAUUUUAAUUUCCUUAAUUUGUUCUAUCAAAAUGCUUUUUGAAGGGGAAAAGUUUUGGUUAUGAAAAUGAGAUUUUAGGAAUUAAUAAUUUCAUUUGAAGUAUCACCUGUGGUUUAAAAUUAUUAGUUAUUUGUUCUUUCAGGCCUCACACUCUUGAAAAGUCUGGUGCUGUCGGACAUUGACAUUGGGAAUAGCGGGCUGCGGUGCUGUCGAUUUUUACCAUGAAUAGACUCCAAGCAUGCACCAGUAAUAUUGCAUNNNN